Molecule: microRNA precursor, 145 nt
Organism: Gossypium arboreum
Lineage: Eukaryota; Viridiplantae; Streptophyta; Magnoliopsida; Malvales; Malvaceae
Rfam family: MIR7502 microRNA precursor family
Source: Rfam
UGUUAAAAAAAUUAUCUAUCUUUAUUGUUAAAAAUCGACAUAUUUGACGGAAUAAUCAAAUAAUUACACGUACUGUGCCACGUAUACCUUAUCAUAAUGUAAAAUGACCAAUUUUCAAUAGUGGACAUGGAUAUAAUUUUUAAAA